This 402-nucleotide ribosomal RNA is filed under the name uncultured bacterium. RNAcentral's name for it is "bacterial SSU rRNA". It matches the Rfam family "Bacterial small subunit ribosomal RNA", at positions 355 to 749 of the family's 1533-position model. The record is from RNAcentral.
UCGAGAAUCUUCCGCAAUGGGGGAAACCCUGACGGAGCGACGCCGCGUGCGGGAUGAAGGCCUUCGGGUUGUAAACCGCUGUCACGCAUUAAGAAGGGGCCAGUGUUAACAGCGCUGGUCCUUGACGAAGGUGCGGAAGGAAGCCACGGCUAACUCUGUGCCAGCAGCCGCGGUAAGACAGAGGUGGCGACCGUUGUUCGGAAUCACUGGGCAUAAAGCGCGCGUAGGCGGCAUGGUAAGUCGGGUGUGAAAUCCCUCGGCCCAACCGAGGAAUUGCGCUCGAAACUACCGUGCUUGAGGACAGGAGGGGAGCCUGGAAUUCCUGGUGGAGCGGUGAAAUGCGUUGAUAUCAGGAGGAACACCGGCGGCGAAGGCGAGGCUCUGGCCUGUUUCUGACGCUGA